This 274-nucleotide ribosomal RNA is filed under the name uncultured bacterium. RNAcentral's name for it is "partial 16S ribosomal RNA". It matches the Rfam family "Archaeal small subunit ribosomal RNA", at positions 473 to 747 of the family's 1478-position model. The record is from RNAcentral.
AAACCAGCACCUCAAGUGGUCAGGAGGAUUAUUGGGCCUAAAGCAUCCGUAGCCUGUUCUGUAAGUUUUCGGUUAAAUCCAUUAGCUCAACUAAUGGGCCGCCGAAAAUACUGCAUAACUAGGGAGUGGGAGAGGUAGACGGUACUCGGUAGGAAGGGGUAAAAUCCUUUGAUCUAUUGAUGACCACCUGUGGCGAAGGCGGUCUACCAGAACACGUUCGACGGUGAGGGAUGAAAGCUGGGGGAGCAAACCGGAUUAGAAACCCGAGUAGUCC